GGCAACAGCUCAAAUUUGAAAUCUGGCGUCUUUGGCGUCCGAGUUGUAAUUUGCAGAGGGCGCUUUGGCAUUGGCAGCGGUCCAAGUUCCUUGGAACAGGACGUCACAGAGGGUGAGAAUCCCGUACGUGGUCGCUAGCCUUUACCGUGUAAAGCCCCUUCGACGAGUCGAGUUGUUUGGGAAUGCAGCUCUAAAUGGGAGGUAAAUUUCUUCUAAAGCUAAAUACUGGCCAGAGACCGAUAGCGCACAAGUAGAGUGAUCGAAAGAUGAAAAGCACUUUGGAAAGAGAGUUAAAAAGCACGUGAAAUUGUUGAAAGGGAAGCGCUUGCAGCCAGACUUGCCUGUAGUUGCUCAUCCGGGUUUUUACCCGGUGCACUCUUCUGCGGGCAGGCCAGCAUCAGUUUGGGCGGUUGGAUAAAGGUCUCUGUCAUGUACCUCUCUUCGGGGAGAACUUAUAGGGGAGACGACAUGCAACCAGCCUGGACUGAGGUCCGCGCAUCUGCUAGGAUGCUGGCGUAAUGGCUGUAAGCGGCCCGUCUUGAAACACGGACCAAGGAGUCUAACAUCUAUGCGAGUGUUUGGGUGUCAAGCCCGAGCGCGUAAUGAAAGUGAACGGAGGUGGGAACCUUUCGGGGUGCACCAUCGACCGAUCCUGAUGUCUUCGGAUGGAUUUGAGUAAGAGCAUAGCUGUUGGGACCCGAAAGAUGGUGAACUAUGCUUGAAUAGGGUGAAGCCAGAGGAAACUCUGGUGGAGGCUCGCAGCGGUUCUGACGUGCAAAUCGAUCGUCAAAUUUGGGCAUAGGGGCGAAAGACUAAUCGAACUAUCUAGUAGCUGGUUCCUGCCGAAGUUUCCCUCAGGAUAGCAGUAACGUUUUCAGUUUUAUGAGGUAAAGCGAAUGAUUAGAGGCCUGGGGGUUGAAACAACCUU
RNAcentral lists this ribosomal RNA (928 nucleotides) under Xenodidymella glycyrrhizicola. RNAcentral describes it as "partial large subunit ribosomal RNA". It matches the Rfam family "Eukaryotic large subunit ribosomal RNA", at positions 100 to 1048 of the family's 3401-position model. Lineage: Eukaryota; Fungi; Ascomycota; Dothideomycetes; Pleosporales; Didymellaceae. The record is from RNAcentral.